Molecule: ribosomal RNA, 1552 nt
Filed under: Bacillus subtilis
Lineage: Bacteria; Bacillati; Bacillota; Bacilli; Caryophanales; Bacillaceae
Description: bacterial SSU rRNA
Rfam family: Bacterial small subunit ribosomal RNA
Source: RNAcentral
AUUAGAGUUUGAUCUGGCUCAGGACGAACGCUGGCGGCGUGCCUAAUACAUGCGAGUCGAGCGGACAGAUGGGAGCUUGCUCCCUGAUGUUAGCGGCGGACGGGUGAGUAACACGUGGGUAACCUGCCUGUAAGACUGGGAUAACUCCGGGAAACCGGGGCUAAUACCGGAUGCUUGUUUGAACCGCAUGGUUCAAACAUAAAAGGUGGCUUCGGCUACCACUUACAGAUGGACCCGCGGCGCAUUAGCUAGUUGGUGAGGUAACGGCUCACCAAGGCAACGAUGCGUAGCCGACCUGAGAGGGUGAUCGGCCACACUGGGACUGAGACACGGCCCAGACUCCUACGGGAGGCAGCAGUAGGGAAUCUUCCGCAAUGGACGAAAGUCUGACGGAGUAACGCCGCGUGAGUGAUGAAGGUUUUCGGAUCGUAAAGCUCUGUUGUUAGGGAAGAACAAGUACCGUUCAAAUAGGGCGGUACCUUGACGGUACCUAACCAGAAAGCCACGGCUAACUACGUGCCAGCAGCCGCGGUAAUACGUAGGUGGCAAGCGUUGUCCGGAAUUAUUGGGCGUAAAGGGCUCGCAGGCGGUUUCUUAAGUCUGAUGUGAAAGCCCCCGGCUCAACCCGGGGAGGGUCAUUGGAAACUGGGGAACUUGAGUGCAGAAGAGGAGAGUGGAAUUUCCACGUGUAGCGGUGAAAUGCGUAGAGAUGUGGAGGAACACCAGUGGCGAAGGCGACUCUCUGGUCUGUAACUGACGCUGAGGAGCGAAAGCGUGGGGAGCGAACAGGAUUAGAUACCCUGGUAGUCCACGCCGUAAACGAUGAGUGCUAAGUGUUAAGGGGGUUUCCGCCCCUUAGUGCUGCAGCUAACGCAUUAAGCACUCCGCCUGGGGAGUACGGUCGCAAGACUGAAACUCAAAGGAAUUUGACGGGGGCCCGCACAAGCGGUGGAGCAUGGUGGUUUAAUUCGAAGCAACGCGAAGAACCUUACCAGGUCUUGACAUCCUCUGACAAUCCUAGAGAUAGGACGUCCCCUUCGGGGGCAGAGUGACAGGUGGUGCAUGGUUGUCGUCAGCUCGUGUCGUGAGAUGUUGGGUUAAGUCCCGCAACGAGCGCAACCCUUGAUCUUAGUUGCCAGCAUUCAGUUGGGCACUCUAAGGUGACUGCCGGUGACAAACCGGAGGAAGGUGGGGAUGACGUCAAAUCAUCAUGCCCCUUAUGACCUGGGCUACACACGUGCUACAAUGGACAGAACAAAGGGUAGCGAAACCGCGAGGUUAAGCCAAUCCCACAAAUCUGUUCUCAGUUCGGAUCGCAGUCUGCAACUCGACUGCGUGAAGCUGGAAUCGCUAGUAAUCGCGGAUCAGCAUGCCGCGGUGAAUACGUUCCCGGGCCUUGUACACACCGCCCGUCACACCACGAGAGUUUGUAACACCCGAAGUCGGUGAGGUAACCUUUUAGGAGCCAGCCGCCGAAGGUGGGACAGAUGAUUGGGGUGAAGUCGUAACAAGGUAGCCGUAUCGGAAGGUGCGGCUGGAUCACCUCCUUAAU